Molecule: long non-coding RNA, 1009 nt
Filed under: Homo sapiens (human)
Lineage: Eukaryota; Metazoa; Chordata; Mammalia; Primates; Hominidae
Description: HSALNT0081160
Source: RNAcentral
GGCUGUUGCCCCAUGCUGCAGUUCCAUAGCUAAGAGUUCUGCCUUCUAUUUUUCCACCAUGACAGCCUGGGUUUGGUGCCUAAAUCAAGCCCUUUCUGUUUGGAUACUUGGCACUUCUGAAACAGCAGCAAUUUGUCCGAGCUGAAAUAUGAGCCAAGGAAAUUUUUUUGAGCUAUUGACAUCUUUUAACAAGUUACUAUACUCCUAUGAACAAAAUUUGGAACAUAUUUGUUUCUCUCUACCUGAUUUCUCCAGAAUUUGGAAACUACUUGAAUCAAACUGGACUUAUAGAGCAAAUAAAAAUCCCUUGGGAAAACUGGCCUCAUACCUUGUCUACACAGUUCCUGUACAGGGUUCCUGACCAGUGGAAUCUGAAGCCACCUUAAGGCAAAGGAAUGACUUCCAUGGAAUACAGAUGAAGUUGGUAAAAGGAAAUACAAAGGAGAAAAAGUACAUUUGUUCUGUUCUAUGACUAUUACUCUGAUACACUGGUAAUGCUAUGAUGAUGGAAGGAACAAAUAAAUGUCUCAGGAUCUUGAUCUUCUGAUAAUAGAGAGGGAAGUUAACAGUUCCUGUAUUUACAGGAACUGUAAUAGAGAGGGAAGUUCCUGUAUUUACAGGAAGAAUUUUAGCAGGGUAAACUUCAAAACCAGUAAAGGCUUGCGUGUUGCUACCAUAAAAAAGAACAAGAAAGCCAACCACAAAAAUUAAACACUAAAUUGAGCAAAGAAAGAAAAGGCAAUAUUACUACUGAAGUAUUAGAGAGCACUCACUACUUCCCUAUUUUACCUGCAUGUAUAACCUAUGACGUUACUCAUUUAUUUCUCUGUAUGUCAUUUGAGAAGUGACUUAUGGAGAGAGAAUAGAUAAAAUAGCAUUCCUUAAUUAAAUAUGGUAGGAUGCAACGUAUACAUGACUAAUUUGGGAUAAUAUUUCUUGUGUGUGUGUGUGUGUGUGUGUGUGUGUGUGUUUGAUAGAGUCUCGCACUGUCGCCCAGGCUGGAGUGCAG